This 653-nucleotide ribosomal RNA is filed under the name uncultured bacterium. RNAcentral's name for it is "bacterial SSU rRNA". It matches the Rfam family "Bacterial small subunit ribosomal RNA", at positions 202 to 842 of the family's 1533-position model. The record is from RNAcentral.
AAAAGGUGGCUAUGCUACCGCUUUUGGAUGGGCCCGCGGUGCAUUAGCUAGUUGGUAGGGUAAAGGCUUACCAAGGCAAUGAUGCGUAGCCGAAUUGAGAGGUUGAUCGGCCACAUUGGGACUGAGACACGGCCCAAACUCCUACGGGAGGCAGCAGUAGGGAAUCUUCCACAAUGGGCGAAAGCCUGAUGGAGCAACGCCGCGUGGGUGAAGAAGGUCUUCGGAUCGUAAAACCCUGUUGUUAGAGAAGAAAGUGCGUGAGAGUAACUGUUCACGUUUCGACGGUAUCUAACCAGAAAGCCACGGCUAACUACGUGCCAGCAGCCGCGGUAAUACGUAGGUGGCAAGCGUUAUCCGGAUUUAUUGGGCGUAAAGGGAACGCAGGCGGUCUUUUAAGUCUGAUGUGAAAGCCUUCGGCUUAACCGGAGUAGUGCAUUGGAAACUGGGAGACUUGAGUGCAGAAGAGGAGAGUGGAACUCCAUGUGUAGCGGUGAAAUGCGUAGAUAUAUGGAAGAACACCAGUGGCGAAAGCGGCUCUCUGGUCUGUAACUGACGCUGAGGUUCGAAAGCGUGGGUAGCAAACAGGAUUAGAUACCCUGGUAGUCCACGCCGUAAACGAUGAAUGCUAAGUGUUGGAGGGUUUCCGCCCUUCA